This 19-nucleotide non-coding RNA is filed under the name Rattus norvegicus (Norway rat). The record is from RNAcentral. Lineage: Eukaryota; Metazoa; Chordata; Mammalia; Rodentia; Muridae.
GUGGGCAGCCAAGAUGGAC